This is a non-coding RNA of Camellia sinensis, 2646 nucleotides long. The record is from RefSeq and is a predicted model, not a curated record. NCBI's taxonomy places the organism in Eukaryota, Viridiplantae, Streptophyta, Magnoliopsida, Ericales, Theaceae.
CAUCAACUAUUUGACUUCUAAUAGAUUCUAAUCCUAAGAGAAUUAGUUCGAAGGGAUUCAAUCUCUCUUCGGCGGUGAUUGACGGUACGACGACUCUGAAUCUGAAUAAAACCAACUCAAGAAGACUUCAUCCGAAAAACCUUUUUUGUCUCUGAAGAAACUAGUGAUCGCUCAGACCUUAACACUAAAUCCCCAAUCUUCAUCUGAAUACGAUUCAGGCUCUGAAUCAGACUCCCCUUCUACCAAUCCUCGCAUCAAGCCUCUUGCUUCGAAACCCAUGGAAGACAAUCCUCCCAAGCUACUAAGAAACCUAGAUCCAAGCCUGGUUUGGCAAAAUCUGCAGCAAAAAGGACUGCGACGAGCAAGAACAACAACAACUAGGAAUCAAAAAGGGCGAAGAAGAAAGCAGUGGAUUCUGAUGUGGUUAUUCAUGAGGAGUCGGAGAAGAAGACUGGUGAUGAUACGAAGAAGCAAUUGUUUCAGAGGCUAUGGAGUGAAGAGGAUGAGGUUGUGAUUUUGAAAGGUAUCUCUAUGUAUCUCUAUUUUGGGAUGUCUCCAGCAGAGAAGAAAACUGUGCAUAUGUUAUUUAUGCCUCCUAGGUGCUUGAUAAAAUGCCACUAAGAAUGGCUGUGAGUCUUGAAAAGCUAUGUCAAACAAGAAGCGAAAAUAUUCAUGAAGAAGAAUCAAAGAAAGUUGGUCUAUGGCAAAGGAGAAAGCUGCCAAGUCUAAAGCAGCAAAGGAUGUUAUGAUAGUUUUGACACUGAAGAAUGGCCUAGAUUUGGUUUUUGAAGGGAUCACAAUCGUCUCCGGAAUAUUGGGAACAAUAGCAAGAGGUUUUGUUCUGGAUAAAAUGACUAACACAAUCCCCAAUGCUUUUAAGGUAAACACUCUUAAUGGUUGGCUUUAGGAUUACCUUUCUGAAUUUUGAUUUAUUGAAUUCUUGCUUUAUCAUAUUGAGUAAUUAUUUUUCCUGUUUAGAUGUGUGAUCCAUGCUAGUUCACCAUUCAACUAGUAAUUAGUCCUUUAAUAUUCCUUUUAAAUUUUACUUUAGUAAAAUCUGUUUGCCGUGGCAUUUUAAGUCUUCUUAUAAUAAACUAAAUGUUUGAGUGAAUUUCUUAUCAACUUUGAAGUAGAUGCGUGAGUACCUCCGAUAAUGAGUCUGGUUGCUCACCAAGCGCUCGAAGUCCUCCGCGGAACGCCACAGGUACAUCUAGUGACAAGUUUGAUUGUUCAUUGAGCGCUCGUAUUCCGUGGCAGAACGCCACAGGUUUGAGCUUUCCAAACCCUGCAUCAAUUCUAUAUCAUUUUUGGACCAUGUUUUGGUUCUUCCAGCAUGUUAUUCUUGAUGCAUUGCUGGCCAUGAUAAGGCACUGUCGGCCAUGGAUUUUGGCUUGCCGGCCAUUGAAGUGCCCUGCCGGUCAUCAAUUAGGAUGGUCGGCUGGCCACCAGUGCAUCAGUAGAUAUUUUCUGAUAUUUUGUGCCAGCUGUUUGCACAGAUUGGAGCAUCUGCUUGCACAUGGAUGGUUGGAUCACUUUGAGAGGAUUUUGUAUCUUCUAUAUAUAGACGUCUUCCUUUUGCAUGCAAGGGGUUGGAAAUUUUGAAGACAAAAAUUUCUCUCUCUCUCUCUCUCUCUCUCUCUCUCUCUAGAAUCCUCUCUCUUAAAUAUAUUGCCUUAAAGCCUAAAUUCUCUACACUUUUACAUAGAAACCCUUGAUCAAACUUGAUCUUCUUGGUGUUGAGGUUGCUUGAGGUCCUAUUUGGGCUCUAGAAGAGGAUAUUAGCUUGGUUUGCCUUGCCUUUGUUGCCUAAAUAGCAUCUUGUCUUCAAAGAGUACCAUGUGUUGAAAACUCGGACAAAGACUUACAGGAAGUAGGUUAGUGCAUCAUCUAAUAGCAAUUAUAGAACAUGCAAUUGUUUCUAGCACUUUUUUGUUGUUACUAUUUCCAAAUUGUUUUUGGAUUUGGAUUAUUGCUCUUAUCUGUUGUUGCAAGUAAGGAACAUGGAAGAAAAGCAUGGAAAUCUCCUACUGGACUAUUUUUUCUUUGAAAGUGAGGAAUGCUGAUGGUGGAUAUGAUGGAGGGGAAGCUUUACAGAUUACUGUGUAUGAUUAUUUUACCAAACACCAUAACAUUGAACUUACUUAUUCCACAUUCAUGCCAUGCCUUGAUGUUGGAAAACCAAAACGGCCUAACUAUCAUCCGCUAGAGACAAGAAAUGCAACAGGGUUAGUUGUUCUAGCUACUGCCGCGGGUUUAGGUGCCUCAACACAUACAUUGGGCACCCUCGUCCCUAUGAUAGGAGCAGUUGCAAUUGCUAUAGGAACUGUUGUUGGUAGUUUUAUAUAAUCUCUUAAUAGUUGUCGAUAUGUUUAGAAAGUUAGAUAUGUAUAGUUUUCGAUGGAUUAAACUUUUUGUACAGUUUAGAAAUUAAGGAUAUAGUUUUCGAAUGUUUAGAUUGUAUAGAAAAUUGUUGAAUGUUUAUAAUUUAUGGAUAUAGUUUCUUUUUGAUGUUUCAAACAAUAUUUUGGUGGUUAAUUGAUGUUUUGUGAUGCUUGUUUGUAAUAUUUGUUAGAUUGUACAAGAUUGGUCAAAUAGAACCUGUUGAAUUUAAAUAAAAAAAAAACUGCAUAUUCUACGACAGGCAUA